Molecule: long non-coding RNA, 3016 nt
Organism: Gallus gallus (chicken)
Lineage: Eukaryota; Metazoa; Chordata; Aves; Galliformes; Phasianidae
Exons: 3
Source: RefSeq, a predicted model, not a curated record
CUUCCGCGCGAGCCGUUUCGCGCUCCUGGCGCCGCUGAGGUGAUGCCGCGUGGCCGCCUCACGGGCCGCGCUCAGCGCUGUGUGCGUCCGGCAUGAGGCAGUGCCUCGUCCCCAGCCUCCAGAAUCGUCCUUCCGAGGGCACUGCGCCGUGUUCCUGAAGGUCUGAGGGAUGCCCUAUCGCUGACUCUACCAAAUGGGUGCUAUAAGAGUACUGUGUCGUGUUGGCAGAGGUCUGAGGCACUGCAGUGUGAGGCAGCCAUCAAAACCAGCCUUCCACGAGUUGUGUUUGUGCAGGCCCGAGGUGCUGGCCUGCCACUUGGACUUCAGAACGUGCCCUCCAGGAGCACCGUGCUCUGCCUGCCCCGGCCUGGGGCGCUGCUGGAUCACUCGGCCUCUCAAGGUCAGCCCUCUGAGAGCACUGCAGUGUGUUCUUAUGGGCCUGAGGCACUGCUCUGUGCCUGGCCAAAUGUCGGCCCUCCAGGAGCCCUCCCAGGCUUGCACAGCCCUGAGGUGCUGCAGCGUUACCUCAGUUCUUCCCAGUGCUUCUCAGUCCGCUUGGAGGCUGCUUGCUGUCCCACUGUGGGCACAGCUUUCCAUUUCCCUGCUGAAGGAUCUGUUGGGUGGUGCUGGGAUACUGCAGGGGAUUUUGGGUGAGGGUACCAUGCACACCGCCAGCUUGGUUCCUGCCAUCACCCAGGAGAAGGGCUCUGGGCCAUCCCUGGCCUGCUGUGCUGUUGCUCAGCGUGUCUGAGGCAGGCUGUGAGGCGUAGGGUUCAGAAUUCACAUCACCAGACUUGUUACUGCUGUACUGCAGGCCUCCAGCAAGCACAAGGUGAACUACAGCCGUCUUGUUUUCUCAGCAUGCCAGUCUCCAGCUACACAAACUGGGCUGUUCGGAGCUGUGGAUGAGGAUAAAACUUCAAAAAACUGGGAUUAUGUCCAUUAGAUAAGCAUUUCUUGCUAGUAAAAUACGGCUGUAAAGCAGUGAGUCUGCAUUAAUUUGCAGUACUUCACAGUGCAGGACUUUGCUCUCAGACAGUGCAUACCAUUCAGAAGAGAAAUCUGCCUGUCCACUGUGGUGGGAACCCUGAUAUGGACGAACUGAGCUCCCCAGGCUAACCCAGAUAUGAGUCCCUGAUGGUGACCUGCAGCUGGGGAAGUCCUUCCCAGCUGCUGCUGGCUGUACAUGGAAGGCAUCUGUAUGGUGCUGUGCUUCAGUGCUGGAAUGCUGAACAGAACAUCACGUGUGAGAAGCAGCUCCAGGACCACGCAUUUGACAGACCGGGGUUAAAGAACAUCUCUGAAGCCUUUCCGCUCAAUGUCUUCAGCUCCGGUGUUUCCAGGAAGGUUCUCCAGCAGAGCCAAUUCACGUCCUGCUUUUGUUAUCAUCCCAAGUGGUUUCAGAGGGAUCGCUGAAGAGCUUUUAUUUUGGUUCGGUUCCAGGUUACUGCCUGCCAUCCUCCUCCACUCACUGCAGCUUCUGUAACCCUGAGGUAUGAGGAGAUAAAAUCUCUUGCUCUGGAGCGAGGGUGCUUUCUGAAAAUGGGGAUGGGCACAAAGCAUUUGCAUGGGUGCGACUCCUGGGUGAAAAGUUCUAUACAAGAAAGGGCAGUGAAAUAUUGGAGGCUGCCCAGAGAGGACUGUUGCCCCAUCCCUGCAGACCCCCAGGGUCAGGCUGGAGGACUGUGAGAAGUGAUGGAGCUGUGGGCCUCCCUGUGCACUGCAGGCAGUGGGACCAGAUGGCCUCUGGGGGUCCUUUUCAGCUCAAACCAUUCUGUGAUUCUAUUCUGUGGUUCUAUGAAACCUCAGCUUUGUGCUAAGUGGGUGGCUUUUUCUCCAUCGUGGAAUAUCCAUUCUUCUAGAUAAACCUGGAAGGACAACUCAAACAUCCCAGUGAUAAUAAUUUCUCAAUAAUUCAUUUAUAAGAUGCUGCUUAACUGAUCAAAGGCACCCAUGCUGUGCCAGGUGGUGGGACUAUGGGCAGCACUGCACGGCCAGUGCCACUGAGCAGCUCCAGAAGUACCACCAGGAUGGUGACCAUGAGCACGACCAGCAUCACAUGGACCCACCAUGGGUUGACCCAAUGGCAAACUUGGCACUGGGACAUCUUGUAAAGCAUGUCAGGAUGGAGGUCUGGAUGCAUCCUUGCUGUGAGUGGUGCUGUGUUGGAUUGGUCACACGUGGGUGGGGAAUGGCUCUUUGGGAUCAAUCAAACAGACGGGCAGGUGGUCCCACCUUCUCAUAGGUGGUGCUGGGCAGGUGGCAGCUAUAAGAGCCUGAGCAUGAUGCAGGAGGGUUUGGAUGGCGUGGGAGUGGUUCUGUUCCUGCUGCACAGAAGAGGCCCAGGACAUCCUACAGCAGAUACCACAGAUACCACUUCUUUGGGAUUUCUUCUGCAGGUGGCAGCUGCUGGCCAUGAGCCUUUAGAGGUGAACAGACCACCAACUUCAGUCCUCUACCAUCACACCCAGCACCUCCAGCCCCUUCCUGGGCAAAGUCUUUGCAAUCACAGCACCCAUCACGGGAGCAGUUGGACAUUUCAGGUUGGAUAUGAGGAAUAAUUUCUUCUCAGAAAGAGCAGUGCUGCAGUGGCACAGCUGCACAGGGAGGUGGGGGAGUCCCCAUCACUGGAGGUGUUCCAGAGCUGUGGAGAUGCGGCACUGAGGGCUGUGGGCAUGGUGAGGUGGGCUGGGGUUGGACCUGGAGAUCUUUGAGGUCUUUUGCAGUCUUAUUGAUCCUAAUGUUCUGUGAUUUCCUUCAGCAGUCAUCACAGCCAGCUUCUGCCCGUGUGUCCUCAUGCCAACUGUCUUCUGGCUUCAGCAGCUCUUCUCCCUUCCGUGUGUUUAGUUCCCAAUGUAUUUAUAGCUGAGAGCAAUGUUCCCUACCGGGUUCUGCUCUGCUGUCGGGGCUCCCUCCUCGUGGUCUCACUCUCAAACGCAGGCAGUCAGACCCCACAUUGUCCCCUCCAACCACAGCCUUAUCCCUGCCUUACACAUGGGUCAUGCUUCUCUUCUCU